This is a long non-coding RNA of Astyanax mexicanus (Mexican tetra), 304 nucleotides long. RefSeq lists it as uncharacterized. The record is from RefSeq and is a predicted model, not a curated record. The transcript is spliced from 3 exons. Lineage: Eukaryota; Metazoa; Chordata; Actinopteri; Characiformes; Acestrorhamphidae.
AGAAAGAAAGAAAGAAAGAAAGAAAGAAAGAAAGAGUGGGUAAGAGACAGGUACAGGAAUAAUGAGAGACAGAGGGAGAAAGAAAGAAAGAAAGAAAGAAAGAAAGAAAGAAAGAAAGAAAGAAAGAAAGAGUGGGUAAGAGACAGGUACAGGAAUAAUGAGAGACAGAGGGAGAAAGAAAGAAAGAAAGAAAGAAAGAAAGAAAGAAAGAAAGAAAGAGAAAGAGAGUUAGAGAAAGAGAAAGAAAGAGUGAGAAGAGAAGAGAGAGAGAGAUAGAUAGGGAAAGAAAGAAAGAAAGAAAGAA